RNAcentral lists this ribosomal RNA (237 nucleotides) under uncultured bacterium. RNAcentral describes it as "partial 16S ribosomal RNA". It matches the Rfam family "Bacterial small subunit ribosomal RNA", at positions 121 to 353 of the family's 1533-position model. The record is from RNAcentral.
GUAACCUGCCUUAUAGUGGGGGAGUAGCCUUUCGAAAGGAAGAUUAAUACCGCAUAAGAUUGUAGUAUCGCAUGAUAUAGCAAUUAAAGGAGCAAUCCGCUAUAAGAUGGACCCGCGUCGCAUUAGCUAGUUGGUGAGGUAAUGGCUCACCAAGGCGACGAUGCGUAGCCGACCUGAGAGGGUGAUCGGCCACAUUGGGACUGAGACACGGCCCAGACUCCUACGGGAGGCAGCAUG